GGAGAUGGCCUUCAAAUCAGAUUAGUUUCUUCUUUGUUCUUUUUCCUAGGUAAUAAUAUUUUUUUGUUAGAUACCAUUGUUUCUCAUUUUCCCCUUAUUUUGUUCCUCUUAUUUUGUUUGAGUCCCUUCUUGAGUCUGUUUGGUCAGAGCAAGAGAAAUGACUUCAAAAUUUACUACCAGCUUUCCAAUUGCACAAAACAAUUUUGGCUGGCACAUCAAAAUGGCAUAAGUCAGGAAAGAACAAUAUGCGUACUGAGUUGGCAACAAUCAACGUGUUUUGGGAUUCGUGUGAAAUGCAAGGGAUCGGUAAAUAUCAAUUAAUGAGAAAAUGCAAAAAAUAGAGGAUAUUGGGAUCGAAUAUAGCAGAGGUGUUUUCUAUGGUAAGAGUUGAAAGAAAAUGGAUAGUCGACAACCUUCAAGGUCGUCCAAGUUGAAAUAAAG
This 441-nucleotide long non-coding RNA is filed under the name Nicotiana benthamiana. RNAcentral describes it as "long non-coding RNA (NBEN_LNC002236)". The record is from RNAcentral. Lineage: Eukaryota; Viridiplantae; Streptophyta; Magnoliopsida; Solanales; Solanaceae.